Molecule: ribosomal RNA, 498 nt
Filed under: uncultured bacterium
Lineage: Bacteria
Description: partial 16S ribosomal RNA
Rfam family: Bacterial small subunit ribosomal RNA
Source: RNAcentral
AUUGAACGCUGGCGGCAUGCCUUACACAUGCAAGUCGAACGGUAGCAGGUCUUCGGAUGCUGACGAGUGGCGAACGGGUGAGUAAUACAUCGGAACGUGCCUAGUAGUGGGGGAUAACUACUCGAAAGAGUGGCUAAUACCGCAUGAGAUCUGCGGAUGAAAGCAGGGGAUCGCAAGACCUUGUGCUACUAGAGCGGCCGAUGGCAGAUUAGGUAGUUGGUGGGAUAAAAGCUUACCAAGCCGACGAUCUGUAGCUGGUCUGAGAGGACGAUCAGCCACACUGGGACUGAGACACGGCCCAGACUCCUACGGGAGGCAGCAGUGGGGAAUUUUGGACAAUGGGCGCAAGCCUGAUCCAGCAAUGCCGCGUGCAGGAUGAAGGCCUUCGGGUUGUAAACUGCUUUUGUACGGAACGAAAAGCCCCGGGUUAAUACCCUGGGGUCAUGACGGUACCGUAAGAAUAAGCACCGGCUAACUACGUGCCAGCCGCCGCCGUAA